UACGUAGGUCACAAGCGUUAUCCGGAAUUAUUGGGCGUAAAGAGUGAGCAGGCGGCGUGGUAAGUCUGAGGUGAAAGCGUGGGGCUCAACCCCAUAUAGCCUUGGAAACUGCCAAGCUAGAGUGCGCGAGAGGUAAACGGAACUCCAUGUGUAGCGGUGAAAUGCGUAGAUAUAUGGAAGAACACCAGUGGCGAAGGCGGUUUACCAGCACUGCACUGACGCUCAGUCACGAAAGCGUGGGGAGCAAAUA
This 250-nucleotide ribosomal RNA is filed under the name uncultured prokaryote. RNAcentral describes it as "partial 16S ribosomal RNA". It matches the Rfam family "Bacterial small subunit ribosomal RNA", at positions 524 to 774 of the family's 1533-position model. The record is from RNAcentral.